AUUGAACGCUGGCGGUAUGCUUAACACAUGCAAGUCGAACGAUGAGAAAGAGCUUGCUCUUUCGAUUAGUGGCGGACGGGUGCGUAACGCGUAGGAAUCUACCUAUUAGGGGGGGACAACUUAGGGAAACUUAAGCUAAUACCGCAUACGCCCUACGGGGGAAAGAAGGGGAUCGCAAGACCUUUUGCUAAUAGAUGAGCCUGCGUAGGAUUAGCUAGUUGGUGGGGUAGAAGCUCACCAAGGCGACGAUCCUUAACUGGUUUGAGAGAAUGAUCAGUCACACUGGAACUGAGACACGGUCCAGACUCCUACGGGAGGCAGCAGUGGGGAAUAUUGGACAAUGGGCGAAAGCCUGAUCCAGCAAUACCGCGUGUGUGAAGAAGGCCUUAGGGUUGUAAAGCACUUUCAAUUGGAAGGAAAACCUCGAAGCUAAUACCUUCGAGUUUGACAUUACCUUUAGAAGAAGCACCGGCUAACUCCGUGCCAGCAGCAGCCGCAG
This 499-nucleotide ribosomal RNA is filed under the name uncultured bacterium. RNAcentral describes it as "partial 16S ribosomal RNA". It matches the Rfam family "Bacterial small subunit ribosomal RNA", at positions 30 to 523 of the family's 1533-position model. The record is from RNAcentral.